Long non-coding RNA from Pygoscelis adeliae (Adelie penguin), 139 nucleotides. RefSeq lists it as uncharacterized. The transcript has 3 exons. The record is from RefSeq and is a predicted model, not a curated record. NCBI's taxonomy places the organism in Eukaryota, Metazoa, Chordata, Aves, Sphenisciformes, Spheniscidae.
AGGCUGGCGCAGCGAGCUCGGCUGGGCGCCCCGGAACGCGAGGAAUCACUAAUCCUGAAGAAUGCUAUUAUAGUACAGAGUUGAAAUUACAAACAUGGAACUGAAGAAUCCUGCUUUUUAACACCAACUCAGAAGCCUG